CACUCUGAGUUAAGGAUCUGACAUUGCUGUGAGCUGUGGUGUAGGCAGGCAGCUACAGCUCUGAUUCAACCCCUAGCCUGGGAAUCUCUCUAUGCCACGGGAGUGGCCUUAAAAACAAACAACACUAAAGGUUUCUCUGUUGGGGAAAAUAACUGGGGGAAACCAGAACGUCAUUGUCACAAAUGGACUCUCUUGUUGAAAACCUGAGAGGAAGGCAAGAAAACCAGAGAAAAAUCUACAAGUACUUGCAAAGCUGGGCAGCUUGGGCCCCUGGCUGCUGAGUUGUGCUUUGGGACACUGAUUGCAUGUGGCCUGUGGGCACCACUGGGGCAGCAGUGGUUGGUGAGCAAGACAGUGCUGUGAGGCCUGCAGGUUGACCAGUAACUAAAGGAAGCACCUGGGAUGCCAGGUGGCUCUUUCUGAUGCUGACAGUGUGAUUCUCCAGAGACCAAGGGUGGGGGGCGGGCUUAGUCCAAAAGGGGGGUUAGGCCCCUGCUGGAAGAGUUGGCCAGAAGGGAGUGUGAAUAGCUCAAAAAACAAAACAAAAAAAAUUGGACUACCAAAAGCAAAAACAGCUGAAAUGAAUGAAACCUUAUACACUUAAAGUCACUCCCAGGAGUUCCCGUCAUGGUACAGCAGAAAUGAAUCCAACUAGGAACCACAAGGUUGCGGGUUUGAUCCCUGGCCUUGCCCAUGGGUUAAGGAUCCAGCGUUGCCGUGAGCUGUGGUGUAGGUUGCAGACUCGGCUCGGAUCCCGCGUCGCAGUGGCUCUGGUGUAGGCUGGUGGCUACAGCUCCGAUUGGACCCCUAGCCUGGGAACCUCCAUAUGCCGCAGGAGCGGCCCAAAGAAAUAGCAAAAAAAAAAAAAAAAAAAGACAAAAAAAAAAAAAGAAAUAUGAUUGGUUGUUGCUAUAAAGAAAUGAGAUUUACCAGCGCAUCUUUGAAUGAAAGUCUUUAAAGAUUGAAGGGUGGUUUGGAUAUGUAGAUGGGGGACCUUGAAGAGAAGCUUCCAACCCUUGGCUUGGGGGUGACUCCUUUGGAGAGAUGUCUCGGCAUGGGCGUGCAGAGGUAGGACCCUUAGUUGUCACUUAACCCCUGCCUUGUCUGCUGAUGGCUACCCACACGACAGUGAGCGAUAAACCUUUCCAAGUGAGUAACAAGUCAACUCUGACCUAACCAGGGUAAAGCAGCUCUGGGUUUGGAUUUUAAAAGAAUAUCUUGGAAGAAGCCAAGAUGGAGAGAAGUUCUGGGCAGGACAGGAGCGUUGCAAGCAUUUCAGUCAAACUUCCUUAGUCCUUUAACAGAGCAAAUAUAUCUUACUAACAUCUGACAAAAUAAGGACCCCAGGGAGAACCACAUAUGAGUCUGUAUGAAGGCACUUUGGCAGAACUCAAGCCCUUGGUGCUCUAGACUCUCUCCCCAAAAUUCCUGCUAAAUCCUGGUGCCCAGCAUGAUGGUGCUAUAAAGUAGGAUUUGGGGUGAGAGGUCAUAAGGGUGGAGCCCCAGAUGGGGUUGGUGCCCCUAUAAAAGAGACCCCCUUCAUAGUCCCUUUGCCCCUUCCUCCAAGUGAUGGUGAGAAGCAGUAAGUCAUCCGUCUAUGAACCAGGAAGCAGGCCCUCACCAACUUGCCAGUGCAGGUUGAUCUUGAUCUUAACAGCAUCCAGAAAUGUGAGAAGCAGAUUUCUUGUUUAUCAGGCACCCAGGGUUUGGUAUUCUGUUACAGCAGCUUGAUUGGACUAAGAGCAAUAGCUGAGAUUAUCAAGCAGUAGAACAUCAGGGGUGUGUGUGUGUGUGCAAUGGGAACUUGGUUGCUUUGUGUGUGUGUGUGUGUGUGUGUGUGUGUGUGUGUUUCACAUAGAAGAUAUAAAAUCCUUACAAUAACCUCUUCUGAAGGUUAGGUGGUAUCACUCCCAUUUUACAGAUGAGGCCAUCUGAGGGUCUUUAGAAUCAGACCCAUGCUAUAGAAAGCUUAGCUUGCAUGGAGCAUCUAAGACAAGGCUAUCCAGUAGAACCUUCUGGGAUGAGGAACAUGGUCUGUCUGUGCCACCCAGUGCUGCACGUGGCUUCUGAGCACCCAAAAUGUGGUUUGGGGGCUGAGGAACUGAACUUUUGACUUCACUGUACUAUAUACAGCCAUGCGUGGCCCGAGGCUGCUGGGGUUGGAUGGUGCAGGUGAGGCCCUGGGAUAAUGUGACAUGAGUGGUUGUGUUCUCUGCUGGCUGUGGGGUGAGAACGCUGAACGCUAACCACUUGAUGUGGGUCCCCAGAACUUUGUCCCUUUGGAGAAAGAGUUCGCAUAGAGACAGAGUAGUGAGGCAAAUAAGCGUUUAUUAAGAGAGAAGAUGGGGGAGUUCCUGUUGUGGUGCAGCGGCAAUGAAUCCGACUAGAAACCAUGAGGUUCCAGGUUUGAUCCCUGGCCUCACUCAGUGGGUUAAGGAUCUGGUGUUGCCGUGAGCUGUGGUGUAUGUAGGUCACAGACGUGGCUUGGGUCUGGCAUUGCUGUGGUGUAGGCCAGCAGCAAUAGCUUCGAUUAGACCCUUAGCCUGGGAACCUCCAUAUGCCGCAG
RNAcentral lists this long non-coding RNA (2566 nucleotides) under Sus scrofa (pig). RNAcentral describes it as "lncRNA (ENSSSCG00050021585.1)". The record is from RNAcentral. Lineage: Eukaryota; Metazoa; Chordata; Mammalia; Artiodactyla; Suidae.